RNAcentral lists this ribosomal RNA (274 nucleotides) under uncultured bacterium. RNAcentral's name for it is "partial 16S ribosomal RNA". It matches the Rfam family "Bacterial small subunit ribosomal RNA", at positions 523 to 796 of the family's 1533-position model. The record is from RNAcentral.
AUACGGGGGGUGCAAGCGUUAAUCGGAAUUACUGGGCGUAAAGCGCGCGUAGGCGGUUUGUUCAGUCGGAUGUGAAAGCCCAGGGCUCAACCUUGGAACUGCAUUCGAUACUGGCAAACUAGAAUGUGAUAGAGUAUAGUGGAAUUUCCGGUGUAGCGGUGAAAUGCGUAGAGAUCGGAAGGAACAUCAGUGGCGAAGGCGGCUAUCUGGAUCAACAUUGACGCUGAGGUGCGAAAGCGUGGGUAGCAAACAGGAUUAGAAACCCUAGUAGUCC